This 465-nucleotide ribosomal RNA is filed under the name uncultured bacterium. RNAcentral's name for it is "partial 16S ribosomal RNA". It matches the Rfam family "Bacterial small subunit ribosomal RNA", at positions 28 to 507 of the family's 1533-position model. The record is from RNAcentral.
GACGAACGCUGGCGGCGUGCUUAACACAUGCAAGUCGAACGGUGAACUCCGCUUGCGGGGGGAUCAGUGGCGAACGGGUGAGUAGCACGUGGGCAACCUGCCCUCAGCUCUGGGAUAACUCCAAGAAAUUGGGGCUAAUACCGGAUAUGACCGCUGACCGCAUGGUCUGGUGGUGGAAAGAUUUAUCGGCUGGGGAUGGGCCCGCGGCCUAUCAGCUUGUUGGUGGGGUAGUGGCCUACCAAGGCGACGACGGGUAGCCGGCCUGAGAGGGUGACCGGCCACACUGGGACUGAGACACGGCCCAGACUCCUACGGGAGGCAGCAGUGGGGAAUAUUGCGCAAUGGGCGAAAGCCUGACGCAGCGACGCCGCGUGGGGGAUGACGGCCUUCGGGUUGUAAACCUCUUUCAGCAGGGACGAAGCGAAAGUGACGGUACCUGCAGAAGAAGCACCGGCCAACUACGUG